This 494-nucleotide ribosomal RNA is filed under the name uncultured bacterium. RNAcentral describes it as "partial 16S ribosomal RNA". It matches the Rfam family "Bacterial small subunit ribosomal RNA", at positions 28 to 507 of the family's 1533-position model. The record is from RNAcentral.
GACGAACGCUGGCGGCGUGCUUAACACAUGCCAGUCGAACGGGAAGGCCUGCUUUCUCUUGUGGAUUGCGGGUACUCGAGUGGCGAACGGGUGAGUAACACGUGAGUUAUCUGCCCCCAACUUGGGUAUAAGCCUGGGAAACUGGGUCUAAUUCCCGAUAGGACUGCAGGGUGGUGCCUGUUGUGGAAAACGAUUUUCUAGUGGUUGGGGAUGAGCUCGCGGCCUAUCAGCUUGUUGGUGGGGUAAUGGCCUACCAAGGCGGCGACGGGUAGCCGGCCUGAGAGGGUGGACGGCCACAUUGGGACUGAGAUACGGCCCAGACUCCUACGGGAGGCAGCAGUGGGGAAUAUUGCACAAUGGGCGGAAGCCUGAUGCAGCGACGCCGCGUGGGGGAUGACGGCCUUCGGGUUGUAAACUCCUUUCGACCGCGAGGAAGCCACCUGGUUGGAAGGGUGGUGACGGUAGUGGUAGAAGAAGCACCGGCUAACUACGUG